GACGAACGCUGGCGGCGUGCUUAACACAUGCAAGUCGAACGGAAAGGCCCUGCUUUUGUGGGGUGCUCGAGUGGCGAACGGGUGAGUAACACGGGAGUAACCUGCCCUUGACUUUGGGAUAACUUCAGGAAACUGGGGCUAAUACCGGAUAGGAGCUCCUGCUGCAUGGUGGGGGUUGGAAAGUUUCGGCGGUUGGGGAUGGACUCGCGGCUUAUCAGCUUGUUGGUGGGGUAGUGGCUUACCAAGGCUUUGACGGGUAGCCGGCCUGAGAGGGUGACCGGCCACAUUGGGACUGAGAUACGGCCCAGACUCCUACGGGAGGCAGCAGUGGGGAAUAUUGCACAAUGGGCGGAAGCCUGAUGCAGCAACGCCGCGUGCGGGAUGACGGCCUUCGGGUUGUAAACCGCUUUCGCCCGUGACGAAGCGUGAGUGACGGUAAUGGGUAAAGAAGCACCGGCUAACUACGUG
Molecule: ribosomal RNA, 468 nt
Filed under: uncultured bacterium
Lineage: Bacteria
Description: partial 16S ribosomal RNA
Rfam family: Bacterial small subunit ribosomal RNA
Source: RNAcentral